This is an RNA transcript of Mastomys coucha (southern multimammate mouse), 1401 nucleotides long. It is a transcript of the gene named phospholipid scramblase 1-like, with no coding region annotated. The record is from RefSeq and is a predicted model, not a curated record. The transcript has 9 exons. Lineage: Eukaryota; Metazoa; Chordata; Mammalia; Rodentia; Muridae.
GUUCUGAAUGGAAUGUUAAGUGUUGUAGCUGCUUAUAUCUCCACAUCCUGGACUUUUCUAAAUAGUAACAUAGAAAUACUGGAAUAUAAUACAGAUGAAGGCCCAGUCUUCUCUCACUGACCUCUAAGUAACAAACUAUUUGGCUUACUUCUGUUUUGGAAACUUCUGGACAUUCUGAUUCCUCAGGACUUCAGGCUGGCUGUUCAGUUGUGCAGAUGCAGGCCCAGCCUCCUUUAUUAUCCAAAGUCAACUAGAAUCUAACCAGCCAGGUGGACCUACUGUGUGACCCCCAUGAAUAUCAACACCAUCUCCCAUGAAGUGCCAUCUGGAUUGGAAUAUUUACUUCAGAUAGAUCACAUUCUGAUUCAUCAGCAGUUUGAGUUUGUGGAAGCGAUUUUAGGUUUUGAAACUGCGAACCAGUACAAAAUCAGUGACCAAGUAGGCCAGAAGGUUUACUACGCCGUGGAAGACUCUAACUUCUUAGCACGCAAUUGCUGUGGGGAUGCCAGGGCUUUCUCCAUGAGGAUCCUUAAUAACUCAGGUCAUGAAGUCAUAACUCUACAACGACCACUGCGAUGUGAUUCUUGUUUCUGCCCCUGCUGCCUCCAGAAGAUAGAAGUCCAAGCUCCUCCUGGUAUGCCAAUCGGUUAUGUUAUUCAAACCUGGCACCCAUUUCGGCCAAAGUUUACAGUUCAAAACGAGGAGAAACAGGACGUUCUAAAAAUUAUUGGUCCAAUCAUCAUGUGCAACAUUGGAGGAAAUAUAGAUUUUGAGAUCAAAUCUCUUGAUGAAGCGUUCGUGGUUGGCAGGAUUUCCAAGCACUGGUCUGGUUUUCUGAAGGAGAUGCUGACAGAUGUAGACAGUUUUGGGAUCCAGUUCCCUUUAGACCUUGAUGUAAAGAUAAAGGCAGUGAUGCUUGGUGCUUGUUUCCUCAUAGACUUCAUGUUUUUUGAAAGCAGUAGAAGCCACAGACCAAAAAUACGAUUAUGGUAAUGAAUCAAUGUAUUACAAAGACUGUGAAAAAAAGCAUUCAAAUAUAUGAAACUAUGAAGGCCAGCAUCAUGCAAACCACCACAAAGUCUUAUUGAAAACAUUCAUAUACCAAUCAGUGAAUAGUCAAGAUUUGCACUGCACAAUAGCUUUGAAAUGGAGAUAAGUUGCUGUCCAAAAGAAGUGGGAAGGCACCAUCAGUUGACCCUAUAGUUUGCAGGCUAGCUUACCAUCAUUACAGGUAGAUGUGUGGCACAUGCGCUGAAAUCACUUUAUCCUUCAAAUCUGCAAGGUGAACCGAUGACGCAGGCCACGAAUACACAUCUUCAAAAUAGCCAGGCCCAUUUACAAGAAGAUAGGAAAUUAGCAGUUGUUUAAUUUAAAUGUCAAUAAAAACAUCUUUAAAGCAUG